RNAcentral lists this ribosomal RNA (252 nucleotides) under uncultured Bacteroidales bacterium. RNAcentral describes it as "partial 16S ribosomal RNA". It matches the Rfam family "Bacterial small subunit ribosomal RNA", at positions 524 to 776 of the family's 1533-position model. Lineage: Bacteria; Pseudomonadati; Bacteroidota; Bacteroidia; Bacteroidales. The record is from RNAcentral.
UACGGAGGGUGCAAGCGUUACUCGGAAUCACUGGGCGUAAAGAGCGCGUAGGCGGGAUAGCAAGUCAGCGGUAAAAGCCCGGGGCUCAACCCCGGCCUGCCGUCGGAACUGGGUGCCUUGAGUGGGCGAGAAGUAUGCGGAAUGCGUGGUGUAGCGGUGAAAUGCAUAGAUAUCACGCAGAACCCCGAUUGCGAAGGCAGCAUACCGGCGCCCGACUGACGCUGAGGCACGAAAGUGCGGGUAUCGAACAGG